AAACCGUUGAAAGGGAAGCGAAUGGAGUUAGCAAUUCGCCUCGCCAGAUUCAGUUUUUCGCGUCGCGCGACCGCCGUCCUCUCGAUCUUCGUAGACGAGUGUCGUCGGUUUGGGUUACGCGAGGGGCGCACUUCUGGCGGGCGAGCGUCAACUUGGGUCUCGCGUUUUCGAGCAAGAAGGUCGUCGGGAAGGUGAACCGUUCCUUCGGGCGCGGUUGUUAAGCCCGUCGAACGUACGGCUCGUGCGGGACCGUGGCUAAUGAUUUGGCGACGCGUGCCUCUUCUGGGGCUGGAGUCCCGUUUUGUUCGUUCGGCUGUCGACCGUGGCGGACGGCACGCCUGUGCGCUCGAACCGCAGCCGGUCGACAUUUCGGUGAUCACACAUGACGCGUCGAGGAAGUUGACGACCAUACGGCUCUAUCCGACCCGUCUUGAAACACGGACCAAGGAGUCUAACAUGUGCGCGAGUCUCUGGGCGAUCGAAACCCGAGGGCGAAAUGAAAGUAAAGGCGGCUCCGGCCGCUGAGGUGAGAAGCGCCGGCCACGCGUCGGCGCCGCAUCAUCGACCGACCUAUUCUACUCCUAGAACGGUUUGAGUAAGAGCGUGCCUGUUGGGACCCGAAAGAUGGUGAACUAUGCCUGAAUAGGGUGAAGCCAGCGGAAACACUGGUGGAAGCUCGUAGCGAUUCUGACGUGCAAAUCGAUCGUCGAAUUUGGGUAUAGCGGCGAAAGACUAAUCGAACCAUCUAGUAGCUGGUUCCCUCCGAAGUUUCCCUUAGGAUAGCUGGAGCUCGGAUGCAGUUUA
RNAcentral lists this ribosomal RNA (804 nucleotides) under Scytalium sp. n. PJLG-2021. RNAcentral's name for it is "partial large subunit ribosomal RNA". It matches the Rfam family "Eukaryotic large subunit ribosomal RNA", at positions 402 to 1002 of the family's 3401-position model. Lineage: Eukaryota; Metazoa; Cnidaria; Anthozoa; Scleralcyonacea; Virgulariidae. The record is from RNAcentral.